AUGGACGGAACAAUAUCGCGUUCGUUUGCGUUCGUUGAUCUCCUUUAAUAAAAACACUAAAUAAACAUUGUUUAAUUAACGAAAUUAUAAGAAAGUUAAUAUAAUAUGAAAAUGUAACCAAUAACUUAAUACCUCAAGUAAAAACAAUGAAUUUAUUAUUAUGUUGAGAAGUUCUAAAAGGAUUAAAGGCUUCUAACCUCUCUUUUUGAUACGCGUAUUUAUAUAGAAUUUUUGUGUAUUCUGUGAGAAAGUUUAUAAAAAAAAAACAGCAAAAUGGAUUCGGACGAAGAUGAUAAGGACUUUGAUUCCGCAAUUAACAUGACUGGUUUCAUGUUCGGCAACAUUGAUAAGAAUGGUGAAUUGGAAGAUGAUAUUCUUGAUUCUGAAGCAAAACAACAUCUCGCUUCGCUCAGUCAGUUUGGUUUAAGUUCUCUUUUACAAGAAAUGAUGAAAAGUGAGACUGAAAAUGAAAAGGCCAAUGAAGAGGAAAAUAAUAGUAAUGGAAAGGAGAAAGAGAAUGAAAAAAAUGAUAAAGAUCAAAAUGAUAAGGAUGACGAUUACCUUGAAAAGUCACCGAGUGCCCUUGAUUUUUCAGAUAUUAAUGAAUUAGCCGAAGAUAAUUGUGAAGAAAAUACAAGUGAGAUGUACACGGUUAAGAAAACAGAAAAGGAAGGAACAGAUUACGAUGCAGAUGAUGAGGAGGUUGUAAAUAAAUCAGACACUCAGUUAAUGCCUCCACCGCCAUUGCCUGAAGAAAAAGAACCCUUAACUCCUGAAGAAGCAGAAGCUGCCAGGCAAAGAAAACUAGAAACGCCUCUAGCAUCAAUGCUACCUUCGAAAUACGAAAAUAUAAACGUAACACAAUUGUUUCCGGAUUUUCGAGCAAAUAAAGUUUUGAGAUUUUCAAGACUAUUUGGUCCUGGGAAACCAAGCAGCCGUCCACAAAUUUGGAGAGGAGUGAAAAAACGUCGAAAAAAGAAACGCCAUAAUGAAGUUAAAGAUUCUGAUUCCGGUUCUGAUCAGGAGACGAGGAAAGUUAAGUUUAAGGGUUGGCUAAUGCAAUAUGGACAAGAACCAAAUCCAGAAGAAUGUCGGUCUGAUGACGAGGAAAAAUUGUUGAAGCCACUUGAAGAUACAGAGCAAACGGGAAAAACUGGUGAUUUUGGAGAAAAUGGAGACAUGGGACCAAAAGUUGCAGAUUGGCGUUUUGGACCAGCUCAAAUCUGGUAUGACAUUCUGGGAGUUCCCGAAACUGGGGAUGGUUUCAAUUAUGGAUUUAAAGUCGUGGAAGAGAAGCAAGAACCCCAAGAAAAUGAAAAUGCGGAAGGAGAAUUUGCGGAUGAUGCCUUUUUGAUGGUUUCGCAAUUACGCUGGGAAGAUGACGUCGUAUGGAACGGCGAUGAAAUAAAGCACAAGGUGAUGCACAAACUAAACAGCAAAAGCAACGCAGCUGGUUGGGUUCCUUCCAGUGGAAACAGAACUGCUCAAGCCUUCAGCCAACCUGGAAAAGGAGCUCCAGUUCCUGUAGCUCCUAAUGUCAGACUUGCUACACAAAAUAUAGUUCCAACCCAAAAAAAUAAACUACCGAUUGCUAAGGGAGGUCAACAAAUGAGCCGGGAGGACACCGACGACACCUGGUGGUCUAUUUUCCCAGUAGAAAACGAGGAACUAGUUUACGGUCUCUGGGAAGACGAAAUCAUCUGGGAUGCAGAAAACAUGAAGAAAAUACCGAAACCGAAGAUCCUCACCCUGGAUCCAAACGACGAGAACAUCGUCCUCGGAAUUCCCGAUGAUAUCGAUCCCGCCCUUCUUCAUAAAGAGAACGGACCUCAGCCUAAAGUGAAAAUCCCACAUCCUCACGUGAAGAAGAGUAAACUUCUUCUCGGAAAGGCUGGAGUGAUCAACGUUCUCGAGGAGGAUACCCCGCCUCCUCCGCCAAAGUCUCCAGACAGAGAUCCCUUCAAUAUUUCGAACGAUCCCUACUAUCUUCCUCGAUCUUCGGAAACGACUCUGAGGUUGAAGGUUGGCGGAGGAAACCUAAUUCAGCACAGCACUCCCGUUGUUGAACUACGAGCUCCGUUUGUGCAAACUUACAUGGGACCAAUGCGUCUCAGGAACUUCCACAGACCACCAUUGAGACGUUUUAGCCACGGUCCUCUUGCCCAACUGGCUGUACAUCCUGUUCUUCCUCUGCUGAAGCACAUCAAGAAAAAAGCCAAGCAACGAGAACAGGAGAGAAUAGCUUCUGGUGGUGGUGAUGUCUUCUUUAUGAGAACUGCUGAGGAUCUAACUGGUCGCGAUGGGGAAAUAGUUCUUGUUGAAUUUUCUGAAGAACACCCGCCUCUCAUGAAUCAAGUGGGAAUGUGUUCGAAAAUGAAGAACUACUACAAACGGAAAGCUGGAAAGGAUCAAGGACCUCAGAAGUACAAAUAUGGCGAGACAGCUUAUGCUCACACAAGUCCCUUCCUAGGAAUUCUAACGCCCGGGCAGAGUAUCCAGACCGUCGAAAAUAAUAUGUACAGAGCCCCGAUUUAUGAACACAACAUUCCAACUACGGAUUUCCUGGUUAUCAGGACGAGGCAUCAGUAUCAUGUUCGAGAAAUUGAUGCACUUUUCGUGGCUGGGCAAGAGUGUCCGCUUUAUGAAGUUCCUGGACCGAAUUCGAAGAGAGCUAACAACUUCGUAAGGGAUUUUCUCCAGGUUUUCAUUUACAGACUUUUCUGGAAAUCGAGGGACACACCAAGAAGAAUCAAAAUGGACGACAUUAAAAAGGCUUUUCCUUCACAUAGUGAAAGUAGUAUAAGAAAAAGAUUGAAGCUCUGUGCUGAUUUCAAGCGAACCGGAAUGGAUUCCAAUUGGUGGGUCAUCAAACCUGAAUUCCGAUUGCCUACCGAGGAAGAAAUCAGAGCCAUGGUCUCUCCGGAACAGUGCUGUGCUUACUUUAGCAUGAUUGCAGCAGAACAGAGAUUGAAAGACGCUGGUUACGGCGAAAAGUUCCUCUUCACGCCGCAAGACGACGACGAUGAAGAAAUGCAGCUGAAGAUGGACGACGAAGUCAAGGUCGCACCUUGGAAUACAACUCGAGCUUAUAUCCAGGCUAUGAAAGGCAAAUGUUUGUUGCAACUUGCUGGUCCCGCUGAUCCGACUGGAUGCGGCGAAGGAUUCUCUUACGUCAGGGUACCCAAUAAACCAACAAUCAGCAAGGAAGAACAGGAGGCACAGCCCAAGAGAACUGUCACUGGAACUGAUGCCGACUUGAGAAGAUUGUCCCUCAAUAAUGCCAAAGCCCUUCUGAGAAAGUUUGGUGUUCCUGAAGAGGAAAUUAAGAAGCUUUCACGUUGGGAAGUCAUCGACGUCGUGAGAACUCUUUCGACAGAAAAGGCGAAGGCUGGGGAAGAAGGCAUGACAAAAUUCUCUAGGGGGAACAGAUUUUCGAUAGCCGAACACCAGGAAAGAUACAAAGAAGAAUGUCAAAGAAUCUUCGACCUGCAGAAUCGAGUCUUGUCCUCGAAUGAAGUUCUCAGUACCGAUGAGGGUGAGAGCUCCGAGGAAGAUAGUUCAGACAUUGAAGAAAUGGGAAAGAAUAUUGAGAAUAUGCUCUCAAAUAAGAAGACAAGUACUCAAUUGUCCCUCGAGAAAGAAGAACAGCAGAGGCACGAAUUGAGGAAAAUGUUGAUGGGUGAGAAUCAGGAACAGGACAAGAAGAAUAGAGAGAAAAAGAAAGAAGAUGAGGAAGAGUCCCCGAUGAGUAGUCUGAACGCCCAGCCAGGAAGAGUUCUCAAGAUUUAUCGAACUUUUAGGAACCCUGAAGGACACGAGUUUACGAGAGUUGAGCUAGUUAGAAAGCAGGCUGUGAUUGAUACAUACUUGAAGAUAAGAAAUUCGAAGGACGAGUCGUUUAUAAAGCAGUUCGCGACUAUGGAUGAAGCGCAGAAGGAAGAAAUGAAGAGGGAGAAAAGAAGAAUUCAGGAGCAGUUGAGAAGAAUUAAAAGGAAUCAGGAACGGGAGCGAAUGCUGGGUGGAAAUUCGAGUACUCCUUUCAAUGCUUCGGGAUUUUUCGAUCGAAGCAAUUCCAGCACUCCUGUCACGACCUCUACCAGUAUCCUUCCAUUAUCUAAUUUUCCUUCUUCUUCUCUUACUCCUAAACCUAUCCGAUCUGAAAACUCUACUCCUAAACGUAAAAAACCUAAACUUAAACCAGAUCUUAAGCUGAAAUGUGGAGCUUGCGGUAAUGUAGGACAUAUGCGUACUAACAAAGCUUGCCCCCUUUAUCAAAACAGCAUAGCAAAUACGACGCCAGUCAAUGUUGCGAUGACGGAGGAGCAGGAGGCGGAAAUCGAGAAGCAGCUCGUUGCCGAUGAUCAGGAUCUUGUCAACGUCGAUGGUACCAAGGUUAAAUUGUCGUCGAAGCUUAUUAAGCAUGCCGAAGAAAUGAAGAAACGCACUUUGCUUCUGAAAGUGCCUAAGGAUGCGAUGCAUUCCAAGAAACGAAAAAGAAUAUCCGGUGACGAUCACUGUGAUUACCUGAAACGACACCAAAAACCAGCAAACAGACGAAGGACAGACCCUGUGGUUGUCCUGUCCACAACUCUCGAAAGUAUUCUCAACGAAAUGAGGGACUUGCCAGAUGUGCAACCCUUUUUGUUCCCUGUUAGUGCAAAGUCAGUGCCAGAUUACCACAAGAUAAUCGACAAACCCAUGGACCUGCAGACUAUAAGAGAUAACUUGAGGCAAAAGAAGUACCGAAACAGAGAAGAAUUUCUGGCUGCUGUUAAUCAAAUUGUAGAAAAUUCAACUCUCUACAAUGGGAAGAAUAGUUCUCUCACAGUUGCAGCGAAACGCAUGAUGGAUAUUUGCGUUGAUAGACUGCGUGAGAAAGAAGAUCGUCUGAUGAAACUUGAGAAGGUUAUCAAUCCUCUGCUUGAUGACAACGACCAAGUUGCUCUUUCUUACAUCCUGAGCGACGUGACCAAUAGACUUAAGUCGACCCAGGAUUUGUGGCCCUUCCACAAACCAGUGAGCAGGAAACUUGUAAGAGAUUAUUACACGGUGAUCAAGAGGCCAAUGGACUUGGAAACCAUCUCGAGGAAGAUUUCUGCUCAAAAAUACCACAAUCGUCACGAAUUUCUACGAGACAUUCAGCAAAUUGUAGAAAACUGUACAAUCUACAACGGGCUGGAUUCGCCGUACACGCAAAAGGCAGAGUCCAUGGUGAGAAUUUGCAGGGAAGCUUUCGAUGUUUAUGGCGAGAAUCUUACUAAUAUAGAAAACAGCAUCCUGAUGGUCCAGAAAAGAGCGAUGGAACAGGCAGAUAUGGAUACUUCCUGGAUGGGAACAGACGAAGAGAAUUACACAAUUGCUGAACCUCAAUUCCAUGGGAGCCAACCGAGUUCUCCAGAAAACAUGUUUGGAAAGUCAAGCUUGGACGAAUUUAAUUUUGUCGACGUCGAAGGAGAUAUUGAUCCAGACGGUGCUGGACCUUCACAGAAGAAAGACGUUCUUGAAGAAGACCUGCAGUGUUCAAGCGAAGAUGACUUCGAUGAAGUUCCAUUUGUAGGGGACGAACAAAUAGAUCAUUCCGGAAUGGAAAAUUUAGGACUGGAUGAGAAUCGUGAUAUCAAAGGGAACUUUAGUGGUGCAGACCGAACCGAAUCCCCAAUGAGUGAAUUGAGGGAUGUGGAAAUUCCAGCAGAUGAUGACAGCCAGCAGGCUGCAGAAGCAAUGGUGCAAUUGAGCAAUGUUGGAUUUUAUACUGGCGAACAACAGCCAGUCCUCCAACAUGAUGAAAGCAUGGAUGUCGAUCCUAACUACGACCCUUCAGAUUUCUUACUAGCAGGAUUGCCAAGUAGAGAAGAGAAGGAGCAAAUAAGAAUUCAGGAUGAUUUGGCGGUUUCUGAGUCUGAAGACGAAAUCGAAACUAAGGACGAGCCAAUUCUACAAAAACAGGAACCUCCACACGAAGAAGACCUUGGCGGAGAUCUGUGGUUCUAAUGUCGGUGACUUAUACCACUUGUACAUAAAACUGGUUAUACAAAUUAUUCUAAAAUAUUUGUAACCUUUUUCCGCUGAGAAGCUUAUUUUCAGAAUCAAGUUUCUCCCGCGCCCGAAAUCGUUUCCACAAUCCAUAUCGAACCUUCCGGUCCACGAAGAAGAGUUCAGGCUUCUCCUAUGUGACGUGAUGAGUUGCAAAGGUAUAUCGAGGCAUAAUAGGAGGAUUCGAGUAAGGAGCCCACUGAGCUCUUUCCAUCACGAUUUUAUUUAGGUACAAUAGGCUUCCAAUGUACUGUCUAACGUAAAAAAGUGUCACGAGAGUUGAAAACGGACGUGCGGGGGCGCUGGUAGUAACUUUGUUCUAGAAAACCAUGCGGUGUCAUAAGAAAAUUGCAUAAAAAUUACAAAAUAAACAUGAAAAACCCUAUAAAA
Belonocnema kinseyi is the source of this 6423-nucleotide RNA transcript. It is a transcript of the gene named transcription initiation factor TFIID subunit 1, with no coding region annotated. The transcript has 15 exons. The record is from RefSeq and is a predicted model, not a curated record. NCBI's taxonomy places the organism in Eukaryota, Metazoa, Arthropoda, Insecta, Hymenoptera, Cynipidae.